This 77-nucleotide transfer RNA is filed under the name Planctomycetota bacterium. Its description in RNAcentral is "Planctomycetes bacterium (marine metagenome) tRNA-Val". It matches the Rfam family "tRNA". Rfam says of the family: Transfer RNA (tRNA) molecules are approximately 80 nucleotides in length. The record is from RNAcentral. Lineage: Bacteria; Pseudomonadati; Planctomycetota.
GGGCGAUUAGCUCAGUUGGUUAGAGCACUAGCUCGACAAGCUAGGGGCCACUGGUUCGAGUCCAGUAUCGCCCACCA